GGGGGCCAACCCUAAUUAUAGUGUUGGGGUUGCAUUCAAAAUAUCUAUAUUAAAUUAAACUGGCCCUUA
This 69-nucleotide transfer RNA is filed under the name Bavayia septuiclavis. RNAcentral's name for it is "tRNA-Ala". The record is from RNAcentral. Lineage: Eukaryota; Metazoa; Chordata; Lepidosauria; Squamata; Diplodactylidae.